GAAUAUAUAAACAGAUGUGUAUGACAAAACGGAAGCAGGGCGUGUUCCACUGGAGGGUCCACAACUUUAAGGAAGACAGAGGAAUGAGUGACUGCUUCUGCCUGGAGAGUCAGUUACCUUGGAAAUAGGAGAAAAUGGGUUUGUCCUUGAAAGAUGAUAUUAGAGCGGAACUGUUCUUUCCUGCCCAGAUGUUUCCUUCUGUGUGGAAAGAGCCUAAUUAUUGUAACACGCUGACCUCUGUCCCCCUUUCCUCUCUCCGCACUAGGAUUUAUGAAAUUACCGCACUGAUGGUUAAUGAAGAAUGUCACUGUUGACUGUGCACCUCCCUUUUUUUCUCUGGGGUGUGAGCUUGCCUGCAGGGAGGCAGUUCUGCUCUGCUGGUUUAGGCUUUGUCUUACCUGGGCAGGUGGCUCUAGUCCAGAGGCCUGCCCCAGUUGGUCAUGACCCAUGACUGGAUGGAUAGGUCUGUGAAACUCUGAAAUUAGUUGGCAGUCCCAGUUGACCUGUAAUCACUUUUCUACCUUAUUCUGUGUUAGAACCUUCCAGGCAGUCAUUGAAAUUCCUUGUCACCUUGCAUAGAAAUGGCACAGUGUCCUGGUGCUGGGCUGAGCUGCAUUUUCCAGCCUCCUUUGCUGUUGGACGUGUGCUGCCUGGUGAGGAAGUCACAGCCAUGGGACAUGAGAAGUGACACCAAGGCUUCUGAGCAUAUGUGUGACCUUCCUCUUCACUCUUUUCCCUACAGUGGCUGGAUGCAGAUGAAGAUGAAGCCUUGGGGAUGGCUGUGCUGUGAGUUGAAACGAUCCUGGGCUCUGAGUCAUUGUGUGGAGCAGUCCUACACGCCAACAAAACCACGUGCCUUGGACUGCAAUUUUUAGUUUUCUCUCUACAGAACAGGAGCAGCAGCAGCCACUGUAGAGUGCCACAGAAUGGAACAAGGCACUUGUAGGUAGAAGAUAAAAUCGUCUCCACCCCUGCUUGCCUGGGGCCUUAACUGAGCAUCAUUGUUAGAAGAACUCAACCAACUUUAAGGUGAUACCACUGGCAGCUCUUCCUUGGGUCUGAAGAAUCUGUGGCAAACAAGCUUCCUAAAAUGAAUUUAUCUCCUCAGUGCUCAGGGUUAAAGCAAGUUUUCCCAAAAAAUUAAUGAGUAUUUCCAUAAGGGAUGAAAAUAUUUUUAUAAAGACUUGAAUCACACUUCAAGACAAAAGCCUGAAGACGGAGCUUUGAGUCCUGACUCCUUGCCUGAAGUUCUUGUCUGUGGAAUGUUCUAAUAGUUG
Molecule: long non-coding RNA, 1277 nt
Filed under: Papio anubis (olive baboon)
Lineage: Eukaryota; Metazoa; Chordata; Mammalia; Primates; Cercopithecidae
Description: lncRNA (ENSPANG00000040745.1)
Source: RNAcentral